This is a long non-coding RNA of Homo sapiens (human), 1120 nucleotides long. The record is from Ensembl. NCBI's taxonomy places the organism in Eukaryota, Metazoa, Chordata, Mammalia, Primates, Hominidae.
AAAAGGCCGGCGUGUGGGGCGGGCCUGGGGAAGGGACUCCCGCGGCCCUAAGGUGCUGGCGGGCGUUUGGCGUUGCAGCUGUGUGGGCGCUGGUGCGUGCGAGUAGCGCUCGAAGAAACCCAAAGGCGUCGUGGGGCUGCCGUGUGCCCCAGAGAGCACUGCAGGCCGGGUAGGGGCUAAGGCUCCCCGCAGUCUUCUGUGUGUCGUCCAGUACGCAGUUGAAAUCGUUCUCCAACCUGGCCAGUCCUCCGAGGCCCUUCUCAGGCGACCAGACUCUGUUAACAGAGUCCAUUGCUAAAACUCCUCGUUAGUAUUUACCACUCCUCCAGUCUGUGUUUUGAAGCAGUGGUUUUCAACCACUGCCCGUUUUCAGAAGAAAUCAUCUCAAGCGUCCGUGUGCUGCUAGAAGCCGGGCCGGGAGGUCUUGGUGCCGGACUCCACCCUGCAGCCCUUCCCUUUCGCCACCGCCCUGUGCUUAGAGAAACCUUAGAGUGGAGCAAUGAGUCGCCCUUGACUGAGUAACUCUUCGGGGUCAACUUCUCCUUCCACGCCAAGGAAAGGAUUCCAGGGCGAUGUUUCUGGAAAUAGAGAUCUGACCAAGCCACUGCUCUGGUCCCGUGUUUCUGAGAGUCUCUUUCAGAGCAAUGCAAACCUGAAACUACUCCUGCCAAGAAACGAUUGCAGCUCUUCCCGGAAAAGUUAAAGCCUUUGAGAAACAAAGCUGAGGUUGAAAGUAUUAGUCCAUUUUAUAGAUGAAGAAAUGGAGGCCCAGAGAGAUCACGUGACUUAGCCAAGUCCACCAAGGCCUAGGGGAUGCCAAAUUCCAGGGUCCAGAAAGAGCUUGGGAUAAAAUGAACAUCCAAGGGGAGGGCUUUGACCUGGGCUGAGUCUGCCUGUGCCGAGUCUGCCUGUGCCAUCCAACUGGAGUCUCAAGUCCUGAGGCAGGACGUCCAGAUGCCCCAGUGCAGGGUCCUCCUGAUCAACACCUGCUCCCCUGUACUCAUUAGCAACCUCACCCACCCUACUCUCAAAGCACACUUGGCUCUCAUAUCCAGGAGCUCUGCAUCUGUAGAUUCAGCAACAGCAGAUGGAAAAUAUUCAGAAAAUAAAUUGGACAGUU